This 1400-nucleotide ribosomal RNA is filed under the name Staphylococcus pseudoxylosus. RNAcentral's name for it is "bacterial SSU rRNA". It matches the Rfam family "Bacterial small subunit ribosomal RNA". The record is from RNAcentral. Lineage: Bacteria; Bacillati; Bacillota; Bacilli; Caryophanales; Staphylococcaceae.
CAGAUAAGGAGCUUGCUCCUUUGACGUUAGCGGCGGACGGGUGAGUAACACGUGGGUAACCUACCUAUAAGACUGGGAUAACUUCGGGAAACCGGAGCUAAUACCGGAUAACAUUUGGAACCGCAUGGUUCUAAAGUGAAAGAUGGUUUUGCUAUCACUUAUAGAUGGACCCGCGCCGUAUUAGCUAGUUGGUAAGGUAACGGCUUACCAAGGCGACGAUACGUAGCCGACCUGAGAGGGUGAUCGGCCACACUGGAACUGAGACACGGUCCAGACUCCUACGGGAGGCAGCAGUAGGGAAUCUUCCGCAAUGGGCGAAAGCCUGACGGAGCAACGCCGCGUGAGUGAUGAAGGGUUUCGGCUCGUAAAACUCUGUUAUUAGGGAAGAACAAAUGUGUAAGUAACUGUGCACGUCUUGACGGUACCUAAUCAGAAAGCCACGGCUAACUACGUGCCAGCAGCCGCGGUAAUACGUAGGUGGCAAGCGUUAUCCGGAAUUAUUGGGCGUAAAGCGCGCGUAGGCGGUUUCUUAAGUCUGAUGUGAAAGCCCACGGCUCAACCGUGGAGGGUCAUUGGAAACUGGGAAACUUGAGUGCAGAAGAGGAAAGUGGAAUUCCAUGUGUAGCGGUGAAAUGCGCAGAGAUAUGGAGGAACACCAGUGGCGAAGGCGACUUUCUGGUCUGUAACUGACGCUGAUGUGCGAAAGCGUGGGGAUCAAACAGGAUUAGAUACCCUGGUAGUCCACGCCGUAAACGAUGAGUGCUAAGUGUUAGGGGGUUUCCGCCCCUUAGUGCUGCAGCUAACGCAUUAAGCACUCCGCCUGGGGAGUACGACCGCAAGGUUGAAACUCAAAGGAAUUGACGGGGACCCGCACAAGCGGUGGAGCAUGUGGUUUAAUUCGAAGCAACGCGAAGAACCUUACCAAAUCUUGACAUCCUUUGAAAACUCUAGAGAUAGAGCUUUCCCCUUCGGGGGACAAAGUGACAGGUGGUGCAUGGUUGUCGUCAGCUCGUGUCGUGAGAUGUUGGGUUAAGUCCCGCAACGAGCGCAACCCUUAAGCUUAGUUGCCAUCAUUAAGUUGGGCACUCUAGGUUGACUGCCGGUGACAAACCGGAGGAAGGUGGGGAUGACGUCAAAUCAUCAUGCCCCUUAUGAUUUGGGCUACACACGUGCUACAAUGGACAAUACAAAGGGCAGCUAAACCGCGAGGUCAUGCAAAUCCCAUAAAGUUGUUCUCAGUUCGGAUUGUAGUCUGCAACUCGACUACAUGAAGCUGGAAUCGCUAGUAAUCGUAGAUCAGCAUGCUACGGUGAAUACGUUCCCGGGUCUUGUACACACCGCCCGUCACACCACGAGAGUUUGUAACACCCGAAGCCGGUGGAGUAACCAUUUAUGGAGCU